This 824-nucleotide long non-coding RNA is filed under the name Equus asinus (donkey). Its description in RNAcentral is "lncRNA (ENSEASG00005025001.1)". Lineage: Eukaryota; Metazoa; Chordata; Mammalia; Perissodactyla; Equidae. The record is from RNAcentral.
GGAGCGGCCGAGAGCGGGAGCCGGGCGUGCGCGCGCGGCUGGAGUCUCUCUGGGGCUCGGCUCCCUGCGGGAGCUAUUGUUGGUCUCGCUGGAGCUGAGCGCGGAGCCGGGACCUGCUCCUUCCCGGGCACCCUGCUUGGGCUCGCGGAGCCGAGGAGCCGCGCCGCCGAGAGCGAGAGGAGCCACCGGCGGGGCGCCUUUCCUCCCUGCCGCCGUCCUCCCUGCUUCCCUGGCGGUGGCAGCCUGCAGCCACGGUGCCGACCACUCAGGCCUAGAGUCCAUCUGGAUACAGUGGGAAACCCAGUGGAACCGCAGCCCUCCUAAUAGAUGGAAAAACUGAGAAUCAGAGAGGGCUAGUGAUCUCUCGGACACUUGGUCAGUAGCAUUGAAAACUCGCGGCUGCCGGUGUUAUAACUCACGCCUGAACGAAGCUUAUCUGAGACAUAUUUUCUCGUAAGGCGCGUCAUGGCCUUCUGAAUGCUUAGGAACACUAGAUAGCACUUCAGCACUGUGCCAUCUAAACAGCAAAAUCACCAACAAAAAUGUGAAAAAUGUGGCACUAAAUAGACCGCAAAGAAGAUCGUUGUUUACAGUCAUGAGAGCUGAAACGGGAACAGAGUGUCGCCUUGUUCAACCUCAGCUAGGAACAUCCGCAUCGGGAAACUCAGAUUUCUCCCUUCUUUGCACACCCGCGAAUGACCACAGGAGCGCAACGAGCAUUGAUUUGGGGUUACAUAGAAGUUUUAGGCAAAUUCGCAAAUACAUAUUCCGCAAAUGAGGAUUGACUGUAUUUUAUUUCACUUAGUUCUCACUCAAGCCAGUUA